CAGAGUUCAUGCCUAAUGGGUAGACNUCCCACCCUUGUGUAUUUAUACUAUGUUGCUUUGGUGGGUUGCGCCUGCGGGUGCUUUAGGGCUUGCUCGCCCGCCGAAGAAUAUUUAAACUCUGUUUAUUAGUGUUGUCUGAGUACUAUAUAAUAGUUAA
This 157-nucleotide ribosomal RNA is filed under the name Scleromitrula shiraiana. Lineage: Eukaryota; Fungi; Ascomycota; Leotiomycetes; Helotiales; Sclerotiniaceae. The record is from RNAcentral.